UGCAUAUCAAAAAGCGGAGGAAAAGAAACCAACAGGGAUUGCCUUAGUAACGGCGAGUGAAGCGGCAAAAGCUCAAAUUUGAAAUCUGGCACCUUCGGUGUCCGAGUUGUAAUUUGAAGAAGGUAACUUUGGAGUUGGCUCUUGUCUAUGUUCCUUGGAACAGGACGUCACAGAGGGUGAGAAUCCCGUGCGAUGAGAUGCCCAAUUCUAUGUAAAGUGCUUUCGAAGAGUCGAGUUGUUUGGGAAUGCAGCUCUAAGUGGGUGGUAAAUUCCAUCUAAAGCUAAAUAUUGGCGAGAGACCGAUAGCGAACAAGUACAGUGAUGGAAAGAUGAAAAGAACUUUGAAAAGAGAGUGAAAAAGUACGUGAAAUUGUUGAAAGGGAAGGGCUUGAGAUCAGACUUGGUAUUUUGCGAUCCUUUCCUUCUUGGUUGGGUUCCUCGCAGCUUACUGGGCCAGCAUCGGUUUGGAUGGUAGGAUAAUGACUAAGGAAUGUGGCUCUACUUCGGUGGAGUGUUAUAGCCUUGGUUGAUACUGCCUGUCUAGACCGAGGACUGCGUCUUUUGACUAGGAUGUUGGCAUAAUGAUCUUAAGCCACCCGUCUUGAAACCACG
Molecule: ribosomal RNA, 612 nt
Filed under: Debaryomyces hansenii
Lineage: Eukaryota; Fungi; Ascomycota; Pichiomycetes; Serinales; Debaryomycetaceae
Description: eukaryotic LSU rRNA
Rfam family: Eukaryotic large subunit ribosomal RNA
Source: RNAcentral